This 492-nucleotide ribosomal RNA is filed under the name uncultured bacterium. RNAcentral's name for it is "partial 16S ribosomal RNA". It matches the Rfam family "Bacterial small subunit ribosomal RNA", at positions 29 to 507 of the family's 1533-position model. The record is from RNAcentral.
AGUGAACGCUGGCGGUAGGCCUAACACAUGCAAGUCGAACGGCAGCACAGUAAGAGCUUGCUCUUACGGGUGGCGAGUGGCGGACGGGUGAGGAAUACAUCGGAAUCUACUUUUUCGUGGGGGCUAACGUAGGGAAACUUACGCUAAUACCGCAUACGACCUACGGGUGAAAGCAGGGGAUCUUCGGACCUUGCGCGAUUGAAUGAGCCGAUGUCGGAUUAGCUAGUUGGCGGGGUAAAGGCCCACCAAGGCGACGAUCCGUAGCUGGUCUGAGAGGAUGAUCAGCCACACUUGAUCGUAGACAGGGUCCAGACUCCGACGGGAGGCAGCAGUGGGGAAUAUUAGACAAUGGGCGCAAGCCUGAUCCAGCCAUGCCGCGUGGGUGAAGGAGGCCUUCGGGUUGUAAAGCCCUUUUGUUGGGAAAGAAAAGCAGCAGGUUAAUACCCCGCUGUUCUGACGGUACCCAAAGAAUAAGCACCGGCUAACUUCGUG